Small RNA from Neisseria elongata subsp. glycolytica ATCC 29315, 61 nucleotides. It matches the Rfam family "porB RNA". The record is from Rfam. NCBI's taxonomy places the organism in Bacteria, Pseudomonadati, Pseudomonadota, Betaproteobacteria, Neisseriales, Neisseriaceae.
CAUUUAUAUUAAUAGCCAUGUAAUCGCUGGCAACGGCGAUAAACGCAACAGCUUAAUCGGA